Molecule: ribosomal RNA, 497 nt
Filed under: uncultured bacterium
Lineage: Bacteria
Description: bacterial SSU rRNA
Rfam family: Bacterial small subunit ribosomal RNA
Source: RNAcentral
UACAUGCAAGUCGAACGCACUCUCGUUUAGAUUGAAGGAGCUUGCUCCUGAUUGAUAACAUUUGAGUGGAGUGGCGGACGGGGUGAGUAACACGUGGGUAACCUGCCCUAAAGUGGGGGAUAACAUUUGGAAACAGAUGCUAAUACCGCAUAAAACCUAACACCGCAUGGUGUAGGGUUGAAAGAUGGUUUCGGCUAUCACUUUAGGAUGGACCCGCGGUGCAUUAGUUAGUUGGUGAGGUAAAGGCUCACCAAGACCGUGAUGCAUAGCCGACCUGAGAGGGUAAUCGGCCACACUGGGACUGAGACACGGCCCAGACUCCUACGGGAGGCAGCAGUAGGGAAUCUUCCACAAUGGACGAAAGUCUGAUGGAGCAACGCCGCGUGAGUGAAGAAGGUUUUCGGAUCGUAAAACUCUGUUGUUGGAGAAGAAUGUAUCUGAUAGUAACUGAUCAGGUAGUGACGGUAUCCAACCAGAAAGCCACGGCUAACUACGUG